Molecule: long non-coding RNA, 638 nt
Organism: Ixodes scapularis (black-legged tick)
Lineage: Eukaryota; Metazoa; Arthropoda; Arachnida; Ixodida; Ixodidae
Exons: 3
Source: RefSeq, a predicted model, not a curated record
AAGAGGGAGAUCAUCAAUGUAGAUUAGAAAAAGAAGUGGUCCGAGUACGCAACCCCUAGGGACGCCUGAUGUUACGUGAAUUCUGAUAUCCAGGCGAUGAUAAGAGGAUUAAUUUUAAAGUGGUGAAGUUUGGUAAGGAGACGAGUAUGAGAUUCUCUUGAAGGCUUUUGCAAAGUCAAGAUGGCAUCGACUUGUUUUUAUGUUCAAGGGAUGACACGGAAGAUUUUCCAGUCAAGGGGAAUGUAACCAGAAGCAAGGGAUUCACGGAAAAUGUCAGACAAAUAGAGAUAUGAUAUGUGUUUCGUGUUGAAUAGUAUCUUGGAAUAGAUGAGGCCAUUCCUUGUAUUUAAGGCGUGAGCUGUCUGGCCCCCACGCUCAAUUGAGUUGGAGACCACUGCUUAGCGGCUCCUACGUCGCACCACAGCUCUAGCUGUGUUUCAUCUUACGGGUUGCGUAAGUGUGUAAAAUUUUUAUUGUUCACAGGCGACAUCCGCCGUGGUAUGUCAGUCCCAAUGAAAUUGUUUGCUGAUGAUUGUGUUUUGUACAACAAAAUCGAAACUCCACAAUAUCAAGUUAAUCUAAACGAUAAUCUGCUCAAAAUCAAACAUUGGUGCGACGAAUGGCAAAUGGAGCUAAAC